Molecule: ribosomal RNA, 371 nt
Filed under: uncultured bacterium
Lineage: Bacteria
Description: bacterial SSU rRNA
Rfam family: Bacterial small subunit ribosomal RNA
Source: RNAcentral
ACGUAGGGUGCGAGCGUUAAUCGGAAUUACUGGGCGUAAAGCGUGCGCAGGCGGUUUGUUAAGUCUGAUGUGAAAGCCCCGGGCUCAACCUGGGAAUGGCAUUGGAAACUGGCAAGCUUGAGUAUGGCAGAGGGGGGUGGAAUUCCGCGUGUAGCAGUGAAAUGCGUAGAGAUGCGGAGGAACACCGAUGGCGAAGGCAGCCCCCUGGGCCAAUACUGACGCUCAGGCACGAAAGCGUGGGGAGCAAACAGGAUUAGAUACCCUGGUAGUCCACGCCCUAAACGAUGCUCACUAGGUGUUGGGGAAGCGAUUCCUUGGUACCGUAGCUAACGCGUGAAGUUGACCGCCUGGGGAGUACGGCCGCAAGGUUG